This 253-nucleotide ribosomal RNA is filed under the name uncultured bacterium. RNAcentral's name for it is "partial 16S ribosomal RNA". It matches the Rfam family "Bacterial small subunit ribosomal RNA", at positions 524 to 776 of the family's 1533-position model. The record is from RNAcentral.
UACGAAGGGGGCUAGCGUUGCUCGGAAUCACUGGGCGUAAAGCGCACGUAGGCGGACUCUUAAGUCGGUGGUGAAAUCCUGGAGCUCAACUCCAGAACUGCCUUCGAUACUGGGAGUCUCGAGUUCGGGAGAGGUGAGUGGAACUGCGAGUGUAGAGGUGAAAUUCGUAGAUAUUCGCAAGAACACCAGUGGCGAAGGCGGCUCACUGGCCCGAUACUGACGCUGAGGAGCGAAAGCGUGGGGAGCGAACAGG